ACAUCAACAGGAUAUGGGGUUUCAGGAUGAGCCUUGAAUCGCAUGAAAUGAAUUAAACCUCACAACUCCUUGGAACAGGAACCUGUUUUCAUAUGUGUACAUGGUUUUCACAAUGUGGCGAACUAAGUUGGACAUGAUACUCUGAUAAGGGUCUGACUGCUGCAGAGUGUAUUGGAACCACUGGGCUAGGAUUCAGAAAGAUUCUAGCUCCUUGACUGCCAGGAGCCAGUGGUUUGAUCUUGGACAAGCCACUUCCCCUGUCUGGACUUCAUGCUCUUCAUCACUAAAGUGAGAGACUUACAAACCCCAGUGACUAUGUUGCUGGAAGGACUGAGCUGACUUUCGAAAGUGAGAGUGGCAAGCGGUCCUUAACAUCUCUGGUCUUUAACAACUCCCAUGGAGACCUCUGGCCUGGGGCAGUGGAAGAACCACAGACCUGGAACCAGAGGGCCUGGGCUUCUACCCCAGAGAUUCUUUACCCAUGGUUUCUUAGGUUUAUGAACAAUGAAGCUGAAAGAAGUUCCUUUCCUUUCUGGGUGAGCCCCUGGGUUUCUGGAAGAUCCUUAAAAUCUUAAAAUGGCUUCUGAGCACUGAAGCCCAAGCUGUUAGCUGACCUGUGUGAGGCCAUGAGACAGAAUGCCACAGCCACACCCCAAGGAUGCUGAAGGGGAUUUCCCUCUUCUGUGGUUUUUCUCCUUUCUCCUCGCGGGGCUCCUCCUACAUGGUGAGUCAUCCAGAACUGCAAACACACAGCCAGCUGUUUGGAAUACAAGAAAUAACUGCAGCCAGAGGCAUCUUGGGUCCAAGC
Cebus imitator (Panamanian white-faced capuchin) is the source of this 808-nucleotide long non-coding RNA. RefSeq lists it as uncharacterized. The record is from RefSeq and is a predicted model, not a curated record. Lineage: Eukaryota; Metazoa; Chordata; Mammalia; Primates; Cebidae. The transcript is spliced from 4 exons.